Molecule: non-coding RNA, 30 nt
Filed under: Rattus norvegicus (Norway rat)
Lineage: Eukaryota; Metazoa; Chordata; Mammalia; Rodentia; Muridae
Source: RNAcentral
UCUAACAACCAAAGAAGUCCAGACAUGGGU